This 492-nucleotide ribosomal RNA is filed under the name uncultured bacterium. Its description in RNAcentral is "bacterial SSU rRNA". It matches the Rfam family "Bacterial small subunit ribosomal RNA", at positions 30 to 509 of the family's 1533-position model. The record is from RNAcentral.
AUUGAACGCUGGCGGCAUGCCUUACACAUGCAAGUCGAACGGCAGCACAGCAGGGCUUGCUCUGUGGGUGGCGAGUGGCGGACGGGUGAGGAAUACAUGGGAAUCUGCCCAGUCGUGGGGGAUAACGUAUGGAAACGUACGCUAAUACCGCAUGCGCCCUACGGGGGAAAGCCGGGGACCGCAAGGCCUGGCGCGAUUGGAUGAGCCCAUGUUCGAUUAGCUAGUUGGCGGGGUAAAGGCCCACCAAGGCGACGAUCGAUAGCUGGUCUGAGAGGAUGAUCAGCCACACUGGAACUGAGACACGGUCCAGACUCCUACGGGAGGCAGCAGUAGGGAAUAUUGGACAAUGGGGGCAACCCUGAUCCAGCCAUGCCGCGUGAGUGAAGAAGGCCCUCGGGUUGUAAAGCUCUUUUGUCCGGAAAGAAAAGCAAUCGGUUAAUACCCGGUUGUUCUGACGGUACCGGAAGAAUAAGCACCGGCUAACUUCGUGCC